GAUGAACGCUGGCGGCGUGCCUAAUACAUGCAAGUCGAGCGAACAGACGAGGAGCUUGCUCCUCUGACGUUAGCGGCGGACGGGUGAGUAACACGUGGAUAACCUACCUAUAAGACUGGGAUAACUUCGGGAAACCGGAGCUAAUACCGGAUAAUAUAUUGAACCGCAUUGUUCAAUAGUGAAAGACGGUUUUGCUGUCACUUAUAGAUGGAUCCGCGCCGCAUUAGCUAGUUGGUAAGGUAACGGCUUACCAAGGCAACGAUGCGUAGCCGACCUGAGAGGGUGAUCGGCCACACUGGAACUGAGACACGGUCCAGAGUCCUACGGGAGGCAGCAGUAGGGAAUCUUACGCAAUGGGCGAAAGCCUGACGGAGCAACGCCGCGUGAGUGAUGAAGGUCUUCGGAUCGUAAAACUCUGUUAUUAGGGAAGAACAAAUGUGUAAGUAACUAUGCACGUCUUGACGGUACCUAAUCAGAAAGCCACGGCUAACUACGUG
Molecule: ribosomal RNA, 497 nt
Filed under: uncultured bacterium
Lineage: Bacteria
Description: partial 16S ribosomal RNA
Rfam family: Bacterial small subunit ribosomal RNA
Source: RNAcentral